CCUGGUUCUGGAGCAUAUAAACUGCAUGCGGAGAGUAGAGACAAAAAAAUUAUUUAUGAGAGGGAGAAUCACAACAAGUUUUUUCAUUCAUUCAUUUCAGCAAACGAAUGCACAUAUCAGUAGCAGAUGAUCUACAUUUUUAUCCUAGCAUUCCACUCUAAACAUACAAACAAAACAAUUGUAGAAUGUUUGAGAGAUGUAUUUUCCUAUAUAUUUGUUCGAAGAGAAUCCCACGAAUGAAAUUACACUAAAUCAAAGUCUACAGACCAAUACUUCUUUAUUUUCAAAGCCUUUGAAAUUUGAAUGAUGCCAAUGUAAUGCAAUAUUCGGAGAAGCAUUUUCUAAGAGACAUUUCAACAAACACUAAGAGGGAUGUCCAAGAUAUGGAAGUGCUGACAUUCUCAAGACGCUGAUCAUAGAGGAAGACCUGGUAACCUGCGCAAAAUCAAAUAGAAAUAAGGCACCGCGAGUGCUCGAGUGCCCCAACCAGACUUCGCUAUCGUCGUCGCACAACCACUGUGCACCGCUCGCUGCACAACACCCGCGCACCGCCCGCUGGACAGCCCACGAGCACUGUCCACAGCUCGCUCUUGCGUAGGUCGUAGGCGCGUCCUCGCCCUUGCGUCCUCGCCUGCUCCGCCAAUUCGCUCUCGCGCGCAACUCGCUCCUGCCAUCACGCUCAACAUCACCCUCGCUCGUGCCAUCGUGCGUAGCCUCGCCCCUGCGCCCAUCCCGUGACGCACUGCCCACCCCUCCGACCCUCUCUAUCUCACUCUCUAUUCAUUUUCC
RNAcentral lists this long non-coding RNA (789 nucleotides) under Zea mays. RNAcentral's name for it is "long non-coding RNA (ZMAY_LNC000010)". Lineage: Eukaryota; Viridiplantae; Streptophyta; Magnoliopsida; Poales; Poaceae. The record is from RNAcentral.